CAGCAGCCGCGGUAAUACGAACCGUGCAAACGUUAUUCGGAAUCACUGGGCAUAAAGGGCGCGUAGGCGGCUCCAAAAGUCAGGGGUGAAAUCCGGCAGCUUAACUGUCGCAGUGCCUUUGAUACUGUGGAGCUAGAGGGAGGUAGGGGUCUGUGGAACUUCCGGUGGAGCGGUGAAAUGCGUUGAUAUCGGAAGGAACGCCGGUGGCGAAAGCGACGGACUGGAUCUCUUCUGACGCUGAGGCGCGAAAGCCAGGGGAGCAAACGGGAUUAGAUACCCCGGUAGUCCUGGCCCUAAACGAUGGGUACUAGAUUGCGGACUUACAUGGGUUCGCAGUCGAAGCUAAUGUUUUAAGUACCCCGCCUGGGGAGUAUGGUCGCAAGGCUGAAACUCAAAGGAAUUGACGG
Molecule: ribosomal RNA, 407 nt
Filed under: uncultured bacterium
Lineage: Bacteria
Description: bacterial SSU rRNA
Rfam family: Bacterial small subunit ribosomal RNA
Source: RNAcentral